RNAcentral lists this ribosomal RNA (493 nucleotides) under uncultured Acidobacteriota bacterium. RNAcentral's name for it is "bacterial SSU rRNA". It matches the Rfam family "Bacterial small subunit ribosomal RNA", at positions 355 to 839 of the family's 1533-position model. Lineage: Bacteria; Pseudomonadati; Acidobacteriota. The record is from RNAcentral.
UGGGGAAUUGUUCGCAAUGGGCGCAAGCCUGACGACGCAACGCCGCGUGGAGGAUGAAGGUCUUCGGAUUGUAAACUCCUGUUGACCGGGAAGAAUGGGCCUCGAGUGAAUAUCUCGAGGCAAUGAUGGUACCGGUUGAGGAAGCCACGGCUAACUCUGUGCCAGCAGCCGCGGUAAUACAGAGGUGGCAAGCGUUGUUCGGAAUUACUGGGCGUAAAGGGCGCGUAGGCGGCCUUCUAAGUCAGACGUGAAAUCCCCAGGCUUAACUUGGGAACUGCGUCUGAUACUGGAGGGCUCGAGUGCGGGAGAGGGAUGUGGAAUUCCAGGUGUAGCGGUGAAAUGCGUAGAUAUCUGGAGGAACACCGGUGGCGAAGGCGGCAUCCUGGACCGACACUGACGCUGAGGCGCGAAAGCUAGGGGAGCAAACGGGAUUAGAUACCCCGGUAGUCCUAGCCCUAAACGAUGAGUGCUUGGUGUGGCGGGUAUCGAUCCC